This 379-nucleotide ribosomal RNA is filed under the name uncultured bacterium. RNAcentral describes it as "bacterial SSU rRNA". It matches the Rfam family "Bacterial small subunit ribosomal RNA", at positions 523 to 898 of the family's 1533-position model. The record is from RNAcentral.
AUACGAGGGGUGCAAGCGUUGUUCGGAAUUAUUGGGCGUAAAGGGUGUGUAGGCGGCGAUCUAAGUCAACUGUAAAAUACUCCGGCCUAACUGGAGAUAUGCAGUAGAUACUGGAUUGCUAGAGGAUGGAAGAGAGAAGUGGAAUUCUCGGAGUAGCGGUAAGAUGCGUGGAUCUCGAGAGGAACACCAAUGGCGAAGGCAGCUUCUUGGUCCAUUUCUGACGCUGAGACACGAAAGCGUGGGGAGCAAACAGGAUUAGAUACCCUGGUAGUCCACGCUGUAAACGAUGAUCACUAGACGUUAGUUCUGUUUUUACAGAGUUAGUGUCGUAGCUAACGCGAUAAGUGAUCCGCCUGGGGACUACGGUCGCAAGAUUAAA